Molecule: RNA transcript, 4067 nt
Organism: Cornus florida
Lineage: Eukaryota; Viridiplantae; Streptophyta; Magnoliopsida; Cornales; Cornaceae
Exons: 8
Source: RefSeq, a predicted model, not a curated record
UACGUCGUUUUUGAUCUAAAAAAGUUAGUAUCAUUUGCAAACCUCUUCCACCGUCACAACUCACAAAGCUCUUCAGGUCUUCACCUCUUCUGUUCUUCUCUCAACGUCGCCCUGCUCUACGACCUAAUAGUAACCUUUGGAAGGUUUCUUCCCAUUCCAGCCAAGCCAACCUCCUAAUCUCGGUAGAGCCAAGCAAAAGUUCAUUCGUACUUUUCCUGUUUGCCAUUUUUCAUGAUCCUCACCCUAGAUUUUUCUAAGGUUUCGAAAUUACAAAAGUGGGUAAACUACAAAUCUGGAAAAGGCUUGUCGUCUGAGUCUUAAUCGCUGUGGGAAAUCAUAUAGGUUGUUUGAGCUUUCUAUCUUUUUGGUUCAAAGGACUCAUCUGCUUCUUCAUCUUCUGGGAUUUUUGGCUCUAACUUUGCACCUUCGUCCCAGAUUUUAAUGGGGGAGUACGCUUCGUUUGGGAUACAGUUUUUAGUGGUAAAGUGUUAGAUGUGCAAAGAGAAAUGGUUUCUCUUCUGUGUCGAGCGAUGCCUUGAACCCCCUUCGGGGUUACGUUUCUCUUCUGUAGGUCACCUUUGGCCCAAAGAGAUGGAUGUUGCCCAAUUCAGAAAACUCAGUUUUAGCCUCGACUGCGAAUGAUAUGCACUGUGAUAAGUACACCCCCAUUGAUUCUGGAAAGUUGAAGUUCGCAGUUAUAGGGCUAUCUCAAAGUAAGUUUCAGUCUUUUCAUUCGAUGCUUCUCAUUUGGUAGAUCUAAAUUUCUUUCUUCAAGGAUAUUUGAUCACUAUUAAUAAUAAUAAUGAUAAUAAUAAAACCAUUUUUAACAAUGUAUAUUUCUGUAUAAACUUGAAUCUGUUCAGAACUCAACAAACUUGAUGGCUAGAUGAGUAUUGAGCUGACAAUAUUAGCUUCUCAUUCUAAGUUCAACUCAAUCCAAUUAUGAUCUGACCCAAAAUUGACUAAUCCUCGCCAACACCACCCCUGAACCUGUUUUACAUCUAUAGUUCUCACCUUUAUGUUCUAUGAUCCCCCAAAACCCACGAAGAAUCUCAAUAGGGAGUUGUUGAGACCUUUAUUAGGGACUUUUUUGUGUUACCCAAGUGCAAUAACUUUUAUGUACAACACUCUUCUCUCUUUGAUAAACCCAAACUCUAAUUUAUGAAUCAGGCAGGUAGCCUCAUACAGUUAUAACCAAAUGUUCAAAUUGAUUAAAAUUUAUUCAUAAUCUAUCUAAUACAUCAUUAAUUGCUUAAGUUUGAUUGAUUUACUAUUGAUUAAAAAACUUCACGGCUAUAGUAACUGAUUUGAAGCAUACUUUGGCUGAUAUUUCUGAUUCCAUUAGAUUUUUGUUACAUUACCUGAUACCACAAUUUAAAAGUAUACUUAUAUUAUCCUUUUUUACCUUUGAUUUGUAAUUAUUUUUACAUAUCCGUACCAUUUGUAUGCACUUAAUGGGUUAUGCAAUGUUCUUCAUUGAUGAGUGAAACUUAUCUUAAAUUUUAUUUGGUAUGCUGGCUCAGCAAAAUAUUUGUGUUCCUUCCCACUAUGUCCAGAAAAUAGGGAAUUAUAUACAAACAGAGUAGCCUAGAAUACUGGUGGUCCAUGGACAAGUUUGCUAAAUGCAAGUAUCAAGCAAAACACAGCAGAGUGAUGGCAUCUUGCCACAUAUUUUCUUAUUUUUAUUCUUAUAACCAGGGUAUCCGGGGCAAAGCCCCGACUAAUCCACUCGCGCAUGUCCCCUAAGGAAUUGUUUGCACCCUGAUACUAGAUGAUGCUUCACAUAUAUUUUCUUGUUAUAUGUUUUGAUAUCCUAACAAUCUCAAACGAUUGGUAUCCUAAUUAGAGGAAUCCAGUCACAUUGGCUUACUAUAACAUUUUUAGGAAGCGGUACAAGCAGUUGAAUGGUGAGAAGCAAGAUAAAGGGCCACCAAAAAAGUAAACAGGUGAUGAUAUUCUGGAAUAACUUAACUGCAUACCCGAGGUUAGUUUCAGAAAGGGACCAAAUAACAAGAAGCGAACUUGUGAAAAAUUUGAACUUAAUUGGACAAAGAAGAUGAUGAUGGAGAUGACAUUCAAUAUAGUUCAGAUGAGGAACCAGAAUUGUUGUCCGACGAUGAUACUGAUUUGGAUGACAUAUGAAACUUUGUAUUGUUGAGCAUAUGCCGUAUUUUUUUGGAAUCAUGAUUAGUACAUUAUGUGAACUUUAUCUAGAAUUGAGUUCCUUUUCUUUUUCAAUAUAUUUACCUUUUAGCAUCUGUUGAGUGCUGGAAAUUAAUUAAGUUCAUUUGGUUGUGUGUUGCAUUACUUUUCUGAUUUAUUUAAACUAAUCUUAGAUCACUUGAUUUAUUUUCUGUUUAUGUUUUGAAGUAACCAAUAUCAAAUGAUGACUUAUAAUGUAUUCCGCAUAUGCUUGUUAUAUUUAAUAUUACUAUAUUAGCUUGUAAACAAAAUUAUGGACACUUCUAAGGCACCAAUGCGUAGAAUAUUAAGGUCCAGCGUGGCUCAAACUCGAAUUGAGACACCAUCUACAAGUUCAGCUGCCACACAACCGAGUGGAGAAGUUGAUGGUAGUAAUUCAAUAAGUCAACAACCUAUUAUGGAAGGUGCUGGUAAUACUUUGCAGACGAGGCCACAACCAAGUGGAGGCCCAGUAUGAAAAGGGCGUGGAAAGGCAAAGAAUAUAGCCCUACACAAAGCUUAGGAACUCUAUGGAAAGGAUAUUCCAAUUCCGGUAGAGUUUGGGACAAGUUAUGUUAAACCCAUUGGCAAAAAUCACAAUUUAUGGACGGCUCAGGUUGGCAUGCAUGCGAGAGAUAAAGAAGCACUAUUGAAAUAUAAAACGUGGAGGGAAAUUCCAGAUUAUGAGAGAUAGGUGACCUUUGGAGUGGAUGCACAUGACAAUGAAACUGAUUUCAAGCGAGUAACUAAAGAAAUAUCUGAACGUUUGAGGAAAUAUAGAUAUAAAUUGAAGAAUCAUUUUGACAAGCAUCUUCCAAUUAAGAAUGCACGCUUACAUCCUUAUGGUAUUAUUGAUAUUGAUGUUUGGGGAAAAAUGUGCGAUUGGUGGACGUCACCAGAAUUUCAAAAAAUAAGUGACAGAAAUAAAGUCAACCGUUCGAAGAAUGAUACUCCACAUGUUUCUGGAUCGAUGUCUUUUGCCAGACGCUAUGAUGUUUAUCUGAAAGAAAGUCAAGAAAGGCAAGAAAGGCAAAACGAAGAAAAUGAGGAAGUUAAAAGUCCUGAGGAAGGUCCUGCUAUUUGCAUGUACAAGGACACGCAUUUUAGGGAAGAGACUGGAUGGGAAACGAGAGAGCUAAGCAGAACUACGAUGAAAUGAAAUGGAAGUUUUCACAAGUUUUUCACAAUUCUGAUGGUACCAAUCAUAUCAUAAAUGAUGUUGAGAUAGUGGAAAACCAAUUAGGUAUUAGAAAGGGAUACCGUCGUGGGUUCGGAAAUGGUUUUGUAGCUCCAAGCCAUCAACGUGCAUCCUUAUCUUUUGAAGAGGCUUCCAGAAAAAGGGUAAAAAAUGUUGAAGAAGAUAAUGCACAACUUAGGGAGAAAGUUACAAAUUUGGAGGAGAAGUUGGAUACAUUUCAGCACCUCCUUGAUCAGCAAUAACACCUCCUUGAGCAGCAACAACAACAGCAACAGCAGCUCCAAUAGCUCCUUAAGCAGCAACAACAGAGCCAAUAACCGCCACCAUGAUUCCACUAACAGCAGCAUGCCCCACCAAGCUGGUAUCAGCAACUACCAACAUGGUGGCAAUUUCAGCACCACCCGUCAGCACCACCACAACAAUCACGUGGUUGAACUAUAAAGAUAAUUAUUUUAGUAGAUAUAUUUUGGAGCUUUUUGAUGGCUAGCUAGCUGAUUUCUAACUAUUUUGGCAGAGUAUUUUUUGCCUGUAUUUUCAUGAUUGCAUUCAGUUUAAAAUGAUGUUUUAAUUUAUAUCAGAUGUUUGAGACAUACUCCAUGCACCGUAUUGUGGUGAUAAUCUAUUUUUUUCUUUCUAAAAUGAUAUUGUGGAUGAAUGUACAUUUUACUUUUCAUGUUUUGAUACAUAA